GACGAACGCUGGCGGCGCGCCUAACACAUGCAAGUCGAGCGAUGAAAUUUUAACCGAUCUCUUCGGAGAGAAGAUAAAAUGGAUUAGCGGCGGACGGGUGAGUAACACGUGAGAAACCUGCCUUUCACAAGGGGAUAGCCUCGGGAAACCGGGAUUAAUACCCUAUGACACAUUUCCUUCGCAUGGAAGAAAUGUUAAAACUCCGGUGGUGAACGAUGGUCUCGCGCCUGAUUAGCGAGUUGGUGGGGUAACGGCCCACCAAGGCCAUGAUCAGUAACCGGCCUGAGAGGGUGAACGGUCACAUUGGAACUGAGACACGGUCCAAACUCCUACGGGAGGCAGCAGUGGGGAAUAUUGCACAAUGGAGGAAACUCUGAUGCAGCGACGCCGCGUGAGCGAUGAAGGCUUUCGAGUCGUAAAGCUCUGUCCUAUGGGAAGAUAAUGACGGUACCAUAGGAGGAAGCCCCGGCUAACUACGUG
RNAcentral lists this ribosomal RNA (480 nucleotides) under uncultured bacterium. RNAcentral describes it as "partial 16S ribosomal RNA". It matches the Rfam family "Bacterial small subunit ribosomal RNA", at positions 28 to 507 of the family's 1533-position model. The record is from RNAcentral.